This 175-nucleotide small RNA is filed under the name Gopherus agassizii (Agassiz's desert tortoise). RNAcentral's name for it is "TUC338 (ENSGAGG00000005046.1)". The record is from RNAcentral. Lineage: Eukaryota; Metazoa; Chordata; Testudines; Testudinidae.
AUGAUAGCCCUGGAGAACAAAGUCCUCUGUUUAGCCAUAGAACAGGUAUAGCAUGGGCACUGGCACUACAACGUUCUCCACAUAGCCAGGCAAAUGUGAUUCUCUCCUAGCAUAAAGCGACGACCUCUGGGGUGCAGAGUCAGGCUGCCUCUGUGCCUUUACAAUCCCGGCCUCU